This is a long non-coding RNA of Mastomys coucha (southern multimammate mouse), 211 nucleotides long. RefSeq lists it as uncharacterized. Lineage: Eukaryota; Metazoa; Chordata; Mammalia; Rodentia; Muridae. The record is from RefSeq and is a predicted model, not a curated record. The transcript has 3 exons.
AGGGAUGAGGAACAGCGGUCUGGCACAUCUCAGAACAGGACAGGAUCAGUUCUAGCCAGUUCUAAAGAGCUGUGAGCCAAGCAAGCUACUCUGUCCAGUCUGAGGGAAGAACCAAGAAGGAGACUGGGUGCUGGCUUCAAGACAGAAUUUGACAGACAAUAGAGAAACCAUUGUUUCAUGCUGAUUCCCGAAUCCUGGGGCAAGCCUACCC